UUUUACGUUGAUUGAUGACUGGGCAGAGAUUUUCUUUGACUGCUUUACUCCUUUAUCACUUUGGUUGGAUGCUCUCUAUACAGCAGAUGUUAUUGCGUUUCACAUACUAUUCAUUGGCCUCACACGCCACAAUACGGGGAAGGUUCUUAUCGAAUACGGUGGGCUAGCACUGCAGCUGGUAGCCGUGUUCGUGUAUGUUAUGCUUAAGGUUGGUGACAAGAAAUAUGUUCUCUCUGAAGAGCGCAACAAAAUUCUCACCCAUUCUGAAGCAAAAACACAUAACAUUGGCUUGCUCUCAUUUUUCAUGAUCGCUGUAUUAGCUGCUAUCAUCCAGAUUCAGUUCCAAUUCCCUUUUCCCGAAAACUACAGCACACUAGCGAAAGCUAUUGGUAUUUUUGGGAUGUUCUUUCAGGUUGGGCAGAUUGUGUAGUCCCUCUAUUACCGCUGGGUGAAGGGAGAGAAUGGUUUAAAAAAUGAUGCUCCACAUAUCCGCAAGUUGAAAAUCACUGCAACUCUGAUAAAGUUCAUGACCUUAUCUUAUGAGUUGUGGGCUCAAAUCUCUCAAGGAUACAGACAAUCUGUUCUAACAAAACCACUCUGUGAUAUGACCAUUGCAGCUCUUAUUGUCAACUGUGUACUAUUUGCAGCGAGAUACAUUGGUCCAAAAACCAUAAAGGAAUAUUUCUUCCCACCCAGCCCACCAACAGAGACUCGACAGGAAUAUUUUACAAGGACAUUGGCUUUACUUCACAAGGAUGAUUUCCCCAGUGCUGUACAAAGGGCCGAUGAGAAACAUGAUUAGCUUAUCAGAUGAGGUUGAUGCCGGUUGGUCAGGCGAAAUUGGUGGAGUUUCUGUUGUCUUGUUGGACUUAUUGUUCUAAGGGACCUGUAUGCCAUCUACUGUCUGAGUCGAGGAGAUGAGUAGAUUAUGCUGUCAUUUCUGCUAUCCUAUAUUGUAGCAAUUUACCAUAGCUGACACUUUCUGGGCAUGUUGAUUGCAAAGCUUUCCGGAUGCAUGUCAGUCAAUAUAAUUUAGUUUCUAUCCUCAGAAGAAGAUUCUUGGUUUCUGUAGUUAAACAGUUAUAAAUAUGCCUUUUGUACGCAAGCAUGGCCGCAAACAUAGAAUGGGCAGC
Molecule: non-coding RNA, 1133 nt
Organism: Oryza sativa Japonica Group (Japanese rice)
Lineage: Eukaryota; Viridiplantae; Streptophyta; Magnoliopsida; Poales; Poaceae
Source: RefSeq, a predicted model, not a curated record